Molecule: long non-coding RNA, 1605 nt
Organism: Astatotilapia calliptera (eastern happy)
Lineage: Eukaryota; Metazoa; Chordata; Actinopteri; Cichliformes; Cichlidae
Source: Ensembl
AAAAAGACUUUCACUAAACAAGACAAGACACACCACGAUGAGUACUCAAAGCAGGUCUGUGAAACGUCUAGAGGAGGAACUGAAUUCAGUCAUACAGAGUUUGGCUGAGAUGGGAAAAAAACUUCAUCAGGCAAAUAUGGUGAUGAACCAUCAAAAGGAGGAACUGAAUUCAGUCAUAGAGAGGUCUGUGAAACGUCUAGAGGAGGAACUGAAUCCAUUCAUACAGAGUUUGGGUGAAAUGGAAGAAGUUUACAAAGUGAACCUCAAACAACCAGGUUUGGCUGAAAUGGAAAAGUUUUACAAACAGAAACUCCAAGAAGAAAGAUCUGCACAUGAAAAAACUAAAGAAGAGUAUAAAUCAUUCAAAGACAGAAUGGCAGGGGAGGUUGAUCUUACACUAAAGACGGGGAACUCUGAAAACAUGAACAACCCAGUGAAUGAAACCAGACUGAAAGAGAUGUAUAAAGAGCUGAGGAAGGACUGGGCUAGAAUCAAGCCUGAAAUGAAGCAGGCCGCUCAGAGCGACGCAGAGCAAAUCAAAGUUGGCAUUCAGGUUCAUGAAUACACAAAGUUAACCAUUCAGAACCUUCAGCUUGCUGUUUACUACAGUUUCAAAGGCACUGCUGCUCAGGGGUUCCACGGACAGGAAGGUGAAACUCAUAGCUUCAAUAAGCUUACCCAGAAGUGCAGCUGGCUGAGCAGCUUAUUGGUGCUGAACAAUCCCCCUCUUCAGCCUGACUGGAAAAAUCAUGAUCCAGGGCAAGAUGCUUGGAACGUUUUCCCACAAGAGAUCACAGCUGAAUCUGCCACAUCACUCUGCCAGGACCCCUCUGAAAAUGUUGUUGGAUAUAGUUGGACAUCCCAGCAUCCAGACGUGAACCAGAGUGAAGAUAAUAUGAUGACGUGAGUUCCAACCAAGCAUGUCUUUUAUCAUGUCUUCAUUCUCUUACCACAACCGGUCGCUGAAGAUGGCCCCGCCCCUCCCUGAGUCUGGUUCUGCCGGAGGUUUCUUUUUUCCCUUCCCACUUCUCCCAAAGUGCUUGCUAUAUGGGACGUAUGAUUGUUGGGUUUUUCUUUGUAUGUAUUAUUGUAGGGUCUACCUUACAAUAUAAGGCAAAUGCUGUUGUGAUUUGAUGCAGUAUAAAUAAAACUGAAUUGAACAUGAACUCCUGUCCCCCUCUGUUGACACGGCCCCAUGAGCUCCCUGCAUCACCUCGCCACUGCAGCAGGCCAGAAGCCACAAGUUCAAAAAAAAAAUUCCCUUAACUGACAGUAGCACUACCUUUGUCAAAGUGGAGGGUGUAGUUUGGUAACACAAUCUGUCCUCAGGUUGGGUAUUGUUAUAUUUGAAAUUAUCUUUUGCUCAUUAUUUCCUCAACUUUUAAACAGCAAGGAUUAACUGAAGAGAAAACUGCUGUAUAUGAAUAAAGUUGAAUAGAAAACAAGUGUUUAUUCAGCUUUUGCCGUUAAAGGAACUUAAGUCAAAUAAACAUUAUGACUACAACUAGUCAGGGACUCAAAAUGGAGAGCAGAGGAGAGUCCGGUCAUGAUAAGUUAGGCAAAUCAGUCCCACAUAUCUUAGUAAAAUACAAAUGAUUUGAAUUU